AUGGAGCUGGAGGUGAUCACUGAGAACUCAACCAUCUGGUUUGAGCCACAGUGUUUUAUAUCACCCCUGGAGGUGAUCACUGAGAACUCAACCAUCUGGUUUGAGCCACAGUGUUUUAUAUCACCCCUGGAGGUGAUCACUGAGAACUCAACCAUCUGGUUUGAGCCACAGUGUUUUAUAUCACCCCUGGAGUUGAUCACUGAGAACUCAACCAUCUGGUUUGAGCCACAGCGUUUUAUAUCACCCCUGGAGGUGAUCACUGAGAACUCAACCAUCUGGUUUGAGCCACAGUGUUUUAUAUCACCCCUGGAGUUGAUCACUGAGAACUCAACCAUCUGGUUUGAGCCACAGUGUUUUAUAUCACCCCUGGAGUUGAUCACUGAGAACUCAACCAUCUGGUUUGAGCCACAGUGUUUUAUAUCACCCCUGGAGGUGAUCACUGAGAACUCAACCAUCUGGUUUGAGCCACAGUGUUUUAUAUCACCCCUGGAGUUGAUCACUGAGAACUCAACCAUCUGGUUUGAGCCACAGUGUUUUAUAUCACCCCUGGAGGUGAUCACUGAGAACUCAACCAUCUGGUUUGAGCCACAGUGUUUUAUAUCACCCCUGGAGGUGAUCACUGAGAACUCAACCAUCUGGUUUGAGCCACAGCGUUUUAUAUCACCCCUGGAGGUGAUCACUGAGAACUCAACCAUCUGGUUUGAGCCACAGUGUUUUAUAUCACCCCUGGAGGUGAUCACUGAGAACUCAACCAUCUGGUUUGAGCCACAGUGUUUUAUAUCACCCCUGGAGGUGAUCACUGAGAACUCAACCAUCUGGUUUGAGCCACAGUGUUUUAUAUCACCCCUGGAGGUGAUCACUGAGAACUCAACCAUCUGGUUUGAGCCACAGUGUUUUAUAUCACCCCUGGAGGUGAUCACUGAGAACUCAACCAUCUGGUUUGAGCCACAGUGUUUUAUAUCACCCCUGGAGGUGAUCACUGAGAACUCAACCAUCUGGUUUGAGCCACAGUGUUUUAUAUCACCCCUGGAGGUGAUCACUGAGAACUCAACCAUCUGGUUUGAGCCACAGUGUUUUAUAUCACCCCUGGAGGUGAUCACUGAGAACUCAACCAUCUGGUUUGAGCCACAGCGUUUUAUAUCACCCCUGGAGGUGAUCACUGAGAACUCAACCAUCUGGUUUGAGCCACAGUGUUUUAUAUCACCCCUGGAGGUGAUCACUGAGAACUCAACGAUCUGGUUUGAGCCACAGCGUUUUAUAUCACCCCUGGAGUUGAUCACUGAGAACUCAACGAUCUGGUUUGAGCCACAGCGUUUUAUAGCAAAGUCCAUCCUCCUUCAGUCUACAUGA
This 1350-nucleotide long non-coding RNA is filed under the name Oncorhynchus kisutch (coho salmon). Its description in RNAcentral is "lncRNA (ENSOKIG00005027017.1)". The record is from RNAcentral. Lineage: Eukaryota; Metazoa; Chordata; Actinopteri; Salmoniformes; Salmonidae.